CCCUUAGAUGUUCGGGGCCGCACGCGUGCUACACUGAUGCAUACAGCGAGUACUCCCAGCUCCGAGAGGCUGCUGGUAAUCAGCAAUAUGCAUCGUGAUGGGGAUAGAUCUUUGGAAUUAUAGAUCUUGAACGAGGAAUUCCUAGUAAUCGCAGGUCAUCACCCUGCGUUGACUAAGUCCCUGCCCUUUGUACACACCGCCCGUCGCUCCUACCGAUUUCGAGUGAUCCGGUGAAUCAUUCGGACCGCGGCCCCUAGGCAUGCGGAAAGUCUAGUAAACCAUAUCACUUAGAGGAAGGAGAAGUCGUAACA
RNAcentral lists this ribosomal RNA (311 nucleotides) under uncultured eukaryote. Its description in RNAcentral is "partial 18S ribosomal RNA". It matches the Rfam family "Eukaryotic small subunit ribosomal RNA", at positions 1470 to 1796 of the family's 1831-position model. The record is from RNAcentral.